This 534-nucleotide ribosomal RNA is filed under the name Zelurus sp. 00052194. RNAcentral's name for it is "partial 16S ribosomal RNA". It matches the Rfam family "Bacterial large subunit ribosomal RNA", at positions 1808 to 2612 of the family's 2925-position model. The record is from RNAcentral. Lineage: Eukaryota; Metazoa; Arthropoda; Insecta; Hemiptera; Reduviidae.
CAAAAACAUGUCCUUUUGUAGAAUUGUAUAAGGUUUGACCUGCCCAAUGAGGAGUUUAAUGGCCGCGGUAUUUUAACCGUGCUAAGGUAGCAUAAUCAUUUGUCUUUUAAUUGAGGGCUUGAAUGAAAGGUUGGACGAGGUAUAAGCUUUCUUUAAUUUAAUUUAUGAAUUUAAUUUUUGAGUUAAAAAGCUUAAAUUUUUUUGUGGGACGAGAAGACCCUAUAGAUCUUUAUAUUAUAAGUUUAUUAGGUAAUUUAGGGGAUUAAUUUAUUUUAAUAAAUUGUAUUAUUUUGUUGGGGUGACUGUAGAAUUUAUAUAACUUCUAUUUUUGAUUUUUCAUUUAUUGGUGUUUAAUUGAUCCAUAAUUUGUGAUUAGAAGAUUAAGUUACCUUAGGGAUAACAGCGUAAUUUCUUUGGAGAGUUCAUAUCGAUAAAGGAGUUUGCGACCUCGAUGUUGGAUUAAAAUAAGUAAUAAAUGUAGUAGUUUAUUGGCUGGGUCUGUUCGACCUUUAAAUUUUUACAUGAUCUGAGUUC